UUGUGUUCUUGUGGUCAUCUAUAUUAUUAUUACAUGAGCUAGAUGAAUUUUGUGGGUACAUUCGCUAUAGGCCCUCACGAGACCUUACUCGUCCACUAGGGCUGCCUAGGGGUUUAAAGGGCUUGUUGCAUAUGCCAAAUGCAACCGUGAUCACCUACGGAAGUGGUAUAUAUCUAUUAGGUGUUAGUUUUAUUUAUUUUAUUUGCCCGAGGACGUGCAAAAGACUAAGUGUGGGGAUAUUUGAUAGAGCAUAUAUUUAUAUAUGUUUUUAUAUGAUUUUAUUCCCAUAAUUUUAGUAUUUUGUAAAUAAUCGGGAUGUUACUAAUUGAUUUUAAGUGUUUAAUUUCAGGAAAAUAAAUAUUCCUAAAGUUGGAUUAAAUCAAGCUUAUUUG
This 392-nucleotide long non-coding RNA is filed under the name Daucus carota (carrot). Its description in RNAcentral is "long non-coding RNA (DCAR_LNC004687)". Lineage: Eukaryota; Viridiplantae; Streptophyta; Magnoliopsida; Apiales; Apiaceae. The record is from RNAcentral.